GACAGAGGUGGCAAGCGUUGUUCGGAUUCAUUGGGUGUAAAGGGCAGGUAGGCUGUUUUGUAAGUCCGGCGUGAAAUCCCAGGGCUCAACCCUGGAACUGCGUUGGAAACUGCAUGACUUGAGUACUGUAGAGGUGUGGGGAAUUCUCGGUGUAAGGGUGAAAUCUGUAGAUAUCGAGAGGAACACCAGUGGCGAAGGCGCCACACUGGACAGUUACUGACGCUGAGCUGCGAAAGCAAGGGGAGCAAACAGG
Molecule: ribosomal RNA, 253 nt
Filed under: uncultured bacterium
Lineage: Bacteria
Description: partial 16S ribosomal RNA
Rfam family: Bacterial small subunit ribosomal RNA
Source: RNAcentral